UGACAAACCGGAGGAAGGUGGGGAUGACGUCAAGUCCUCAUGGCCCUUAUGGGUAGGGCUUCACACGUCAUACAAUGGUCGGUACAGAGGGUUGCCAACCCGCGAGGGGGAGGCUAAUCCCACAAAGCCGAUCGUAGUCCGGAUCGCAGUCUGCAACUCGACUGCGUGAAGUCGGAAUCGCUAGUAAUCGUGGAUCAGCAUGUCACGGUGAAUACGUUCCCGGGUCUU
Molecule: ribosomal RNA, 228 nt
Filed under: uncultured Rhodocyclaceae bacterium
Lineage: Bacteria; Pseudomonadati; Pseudomonadota; Betaproteobacteria; Rhodocyclales; Rhodocyclaceae
Description: partial 16S ribosomal RNA
Rfam family: Bacterial small subunit ribosomal RNA
Source: RNAcentral